This 492-nucleotide ribosomal RNA is filed under the name uncultured bacterium. RNAcentral's name for it is "bacterial SSU rRNA". It matches the Rfam family "Bacterial small subunit ribosomal RNA", at positions 903 to 1397 of the family's 1533-position model. The record is from RNAcentral.
AAAUGAAUUGACGGGGACCCGCACAAGCAGCGGAGCAUGUGGUUUAAUUCGACGCUACGCGAAAAACCUUACCAAGACUUGACAUCCUGCGCCAAGCCCCCAAAAGGGCCUUUCCUUCGGGACGCAGAGACAGGUGUUGCAUGGUUGUCGUCAGCUCGUGUCGUGAGAUGUUGGGUUAAGUCCCGCAACGAGCGCAACCCUUAUCACUAGUUGCCAAUAUUAAGUUAGGAUUCUUUAGUGAGACUGCCGUGGAUAACACGGAGGAAGGUGGGGAUGACGUCAAAUCAUCAUGGCCCUUACGUCUUGGGCUACACACGUGCUACAAUGGCUAUAACAAAGAGCAGCGAUAUCGCAAGGUGGAGCAAAUCUCAAAAAGAUAGUCUCAGUUCGGAUUGAGGGCUGCAACUCGCCCUCAUGAAGUCGGAGUUGCUAGUAAUCCCGAAUCAGCAUGUCGGGGUGAAUGCGUUCCCGGGUCUUGUACACACCGCCCGU